Molecule: ribosomal RNA, 223 nt
Filed under: uncultured bacterium
Lineage: Bacteria
Description: partial 16S ribosomal RNA
Rfam family: Bacterial small subunit ribosomal RNA
Source: RNAcentral
UGGGUGAGGAAAGCACUUCGGUGCGCGGCGGGAGGGGCGCGCGGCCCAUCAGGUGGUUGGCGGGGUAACUACCCACCAAGCCGAUGACGGGUCGCUGGUCUGAGAGGACGACCAGCCAGACUGGGACUGCGACACGGCCCAGACACCUACGGGUGGCAGCAGCAAGGAAUCUUCCCCAAGGGGCUCACGCUUGAGGGAGCAACGCCGCGUGGAGGACGACGUC